Rhineura floridana is the source of this 2674-nucleotide long non-coding RNA. RefSeq lists it as uncharacterized. The transcript has 3 exons. NCBI's taxonomy places the organism in Eukaryota, Metazoa, Chordata, Lepidosauria, Squamata, Rhineuridae. The record is from RefSeq and is a predicted model, not a curated record.
UCACUAUGUAAGAGAGGCUGUUAUUGAGACGACUACAGAGUAUGUGCCUGGGAGCAUUUAAGUCGCCACAUACAUGCUUUUUUCUUGGUACUGGGAAGAAGAAAGAGCAACACUGUGGAAAUAAGAAGCUUUACUAUAACUAGAAAAUCCUUCAAGGAGGGCAGAGUUUAUAGAUCAACCUCCUCCAUUGCGUAUGAACACCCAGCUCCUCAGGGUCACAUCUCUAGAUGAUGGGGCAAAGAGGAUUCCAGAGGGCCAGUUAAUAGCUAUGAGCCAAUCUAUGCACCAUCCCUUCAACAACGUGAGAAUAAUCAACUUGGAUCAUAUUCAUCCAAAUAUCUUCUCCAAAGAAUACGUUUUAGCACAUUAAAUGAGGAUAUGCACAACAGUACAAGGCAAAAUGCCAUGCAGUUAAAAAUACAUUAUCUAAUGAUCCUAGAAAAUAGCAGCUAAUUAACCCACACAUCCUAUGAUACUAUGUACCACUUGUGCAGUAUUAAAAAACACUUCCUUUUGUUAUAAAACAACUGCUUGCCAAUAAUUGGGCACCCUCUUAUUUUUGCCUUAAAUGGGAGAAAGUGUUUGGACACCCUCCCCAACCAGACCAUUCAGAGGUGUGUCAAAUAACCAGAGAGAAAAUUGCUUAGCAUGAAUUAGCUAUACAUUUAACCUAUACCAGUGGUUCCCAACGUAGGGGCCGUGACCCCCAGGGGGGCUGCGAAGUAAUCAGAGGGGGCCACGAACAGUAAAGAAAUGAAUUAUUUAUUAAUUUUUUUAAAAAGGUCUUAACUCCCUGGAAUGUCUGCUUCCCACUACCACUGCAGAUGAUACCUUCCCCUUGCUCCAAAUGAGAGGGGAGGACUUUUGCUGAAGUGCCAGAGCAUCCUUCAGGCACACCAAGGGCAGGCAUCUGCCUAUAAAAUACAUGGCAGAUGCCAAAGGAGGCUGAGGGUAGAGAUGCCAGAAAAAAGAGGGGAUUACUGUCACCGACUCCUGUCUCCUUGCACCACUACUGCUGCUGAUGUCCUUACUCAGAACGAGAGAAGAGGGCUUUUUGUGAAGCAAAAAGUAGCAAGGCUGCAAGGAAAAGCUGCUUUCUCCCUUCCUUCCUGGCACCCAGCCUGCCUCCCUAGGUGAAGGGGGUCAUGAAAUUUUUUGAACUUAUAAAGGGGGUCCCGUACUCAUAUAGGAUGGAAACCACUGCCCUAUACUAUACAUUUAUACUCUUUGUAUACACAGACACAUCAGUGAACUUCCUGCGCAUACAUGGUCUUACCUAAAAAUUGCAAAGCCAGGAUGUAUUCUCUGUGUGCAUAAUGUGUCACAAUGCGUGCACAAUGAAUUGAGAAGUCUUUGUUGGUAGUGGAGCUCCAUUUGUUUGUUGAACCUCCCACAUUUGUAUCUCCUACUUGUAUGGACUAUAGGGAAUAGGGAUGGAAUGUACCUUCUUCACAAGCUCCAGUUGGCCAUGGUACUCAAGCUUGCAAGAAGCAAUUCUUCCAGCAUAAAAUUAGAUAGAAGAGGCUGUCAGAAUUGCCACAUAAUUAAGAAUUAGGAGUUAUUGUGAUCUUUUAUCUAUAUGAUUGGGCACCAUAUAGGCUCCGAUCUUAUUUUUGCUAAAUAAAAGACAGAGAGCAAAUUCAGUCAUGUACAAUCAGUAGUAUUCAUUUUUCUUCAUCUCCCUUGCUCUCCCUGUCAUCUCCAGGUCCAUGCUGUACUACAACAGACAUCCCCAGGAGCCAAUCAGCAUGAAAGGGGAGUGUAUUAGCUACUACGAAGAGUCUUCUCAGUGGCUGACUCACCUCCUUUCACUCUGAUUGGCUCUAAUCGGCACAAAAGGGCUAGGACUCUUAUCAGUAGUGAACAUGCUCCCCUUUCAUAUUAAUUGGCUGAUACAUAGGGAUCUGCCUGGGGCCCUGCUCCCAAAAAAGUAAACAGUCUAUGAUCAUCCCACAACCCUGGACAACUAAACCCCUAUGUACAAUUAUUGCCAUAUUAUAUUGCUGGGAAUAUCGCUGCACCCUUAUAACAUAUGGCCCAUUCCACAAACCAGUUCAGCUAAAGUCCUUGCAUUUAUUAUAAUGUUGUCUAACUGAAACCAGUAGAGUUGAAGUGGCUCAGAUCCAAAUUCUCCAUCCUAAAGUGUUUGGGGAUAGCAGCCAUACACCGCUAUAUAAUUUAGUUCAUGACAAGCUUUUCCCUAGAUACCAUGACUUCAUCCAUCCAGUUAUGUUACUUGUCAAAUGAUAACGCUUUAAUUAGCUGUUGAACUUUGGUAUCCCCUGCACACACUUCCCAACCCAAACGUUCACAUUAUCUGUACAAAAGUGCUACAUGAUAUCCUUGUUGUUUCAGGAGAAUAUGGUUGCUAUUCACUGAUUACGCCACACUACUGAAGAUAAGAAUUCUAAACUCCUGACACUCCAUUCCAAAAUCAGAAAGCAUGCACAGGCAACAAAACCUGCCUCUCUUGGAGUCAAAACAUAAUAAACCCAUUUACUACUGCUAACUUUUAUUUUAUAAAAUAGCUGAAUAUUUUAUGAUAUAAAGCACAUUACUAAUUUCACAGUCUAAACAUAAUUGUUUCCCUAUAAGUUUUACAUGAUCAUUACUUGGUUUGCAAAACGCUUGAGUAUAAAGCUAGACCAGCUAUAUAAUGCUAUUACGCAAACAU